This 732-nucleotide ribosomal RNA is filed under the name uncultured Chryseobacterium sp. RNAcentral's name for it is "bacterial SSU rRNA". It matches the Rfam family "Bacterial small subunit ribosomal RNA", at positions 8 to 734 of the family's 1533-position model. Lineage: Bacteria; Pseudomonadati; Bacteroidota; Flavobacteriia; Flavobacteriales; Weeksellaceae. The record is from RNAcentral.
AGAGUUUGAUCCUGGCUCAGAUUGAACGCUGGCGGCAGGCUUAACACAUGCAAGUCGAGCGGGGAAAGGUAGCUUGCUACCUGACCUAGCGGCGGACGGGUGAGUAAUGCUUAGGAAUCUGCCUAUUAGUGGGGGACAACAUUCCGAAAGGAAUGCUAAUACCGCAUACGCCCUACGGGGGAAAGCAGGGGAUCUUCGGACCUUGCGCUAAUAGAUGAGCCUAAGUCAGAUUAGCUAGUUGGUGGGGUAAAGGCCUACCAAGGCGACGAUCUGUAGCGGGUCUGAGAGGAUGAUCCGCCACACUGGGACUGAGACACGGCCCAGACUCCUACGGGAGGCAGCAGUGGGGAAUAUUGGACAAUGGGCGAAAGCCUGAUCCAGCCAUGCCGCGUGUGUGAAGAAGGCCUUUUGGUUGUAAAGCACUUUAAGCGAGGAGGAGGCUACCGAGAUUAAUACUCUUGGAUAGUGGACGUUACUCGCAGAAUAAGCACCGGCUAACUCUGUGCCAGCAGCCGCGGUAAUACAGAGGGUGCGAGCGUUAAUCGGAUUUACUGGGCGUAAAGCGUGCGUAGGCGGCUUUUUAAGUCGGAUGUGAAAUCCCUGAGCUUAACUUAGGAAUUGCAUUCGAUACUGGGAAGCUAGAGUAUGGGAGAGGAUGGUAGAAUUCCAGGUGUAGCGGUGAAAUGCGUAGAGAUCUGGAGGAAUACCGAUGGCGAAGGCAGCCAUCUGGCC